RNAcentral lists this microRNA (22 nucleotides) under Macaca mulatta (Rhesus monkey). Its description in RNAcentral is "mml-miR-7199-3p". The record is from miRBase by way of RNAcentral. Lineage: Eukaryota; Metazoa; Chordata; Mammalia; Primates; Cercopithecidae.
UUCAGGUUUUGAACAUAGAGGU